This 831-nucleotide long non-coding RNA is filed under the name Marmota monax (woodchuck). The record is from RNAcentral. Lineage: Eukaryota; Metazoa; Chordata; Mammalia; Rodentia; Sciuridae.
UGUCCAUAGCAUUGUUAUUCACAACAGCCAAAAGAUGGAACCUAAGUGGAUAAGCAUACAUAUAUGCCAUUCAAAGGAUAUUAUUCAGCCUUUAAAAAAAGGAAACCAUGACACAUGCUCCAAUAAGAAUGAAACUUUAAGACAUUAUACUCAGUGAAAUAAGCCAAUGACAAAAGGACAAAUGCCUUUUUUUUAAAUGAGUCCAAAAUCUUGGGAAAAAUAUUUUAAGAGAGAGUUAAUGUAAUAGUUUUCAUCCUUAUAUACAAGCAUGCCUUCAUUUUAACUUGAAAAAUAUACAAUCAUAGAAAGACAUUUAGAUUAACACAGACAAAUGCCUUUUUAAUAGUUGAUCUAAAUGAAUAAUAGUCAUUAGUAGUGGCUCAGAAGAAUAGGAGGUUGGGGAAAUGGAGGAUAGAUAAUGAGUACCAAAACAUGGAAGUAAUAACUUCUAAUGUUCUACAGCACAGAAGGGUGACCGUAGUUCAUAAUAACCUAUAUAAAUGUUAUGAAAAACUAGAAGAGAGGAAUUCUAAAGUUCCAGACGUGAAGUAAUAAUAAUGAGAUGGGAACAUUAAUUACCCUGAUGUGAUUAGUAAAUAUUGUAUACACAUAUUGUUAUUUCAGUAACAAUUGUUAUUUCAAUACAUGUAUACAAUUAUUAUGCAUGACCAAAAAUAUUAUUAAGAGUCAAGGCUAGGGUUUUAACUUGGUAAUAGAGUAUGUACUUAACCUAUGCAAGGCCCUGGGUUUAAUCCCCAGAUUACCAGCACCCCAUACACAUAAAAAGAGUUUAAGGAGAUGGAAAUGUUAACUGUCAUGAUUUGAUCAUUA